Molecule: long non-coding RNA, 349 nt
Organism: Antrostomus carolinensis (chuck-will's-widow)
Lineage: Eukaryota; Metazoa; Chordata; Aves; Caprimulgiformes; Caprimulgidae
Exons: 3
Source: RefSeq, a predicted model, not a curated record
AGCGAUGAGGCAAGAGAGAAGUUUUUAAGAACAGAAAAAUGUGAUUGCGAAAACGUCAUUGUUGGCAGGAGGACUCGGUGGAUUCAGAUAUAACUGUAGGUGCUGCUUGUAUGAAAGAGCUGAGCCACACCAUCCAGUAAACUGUCUUGAGCAGCAGUUGGCUUGCUUGGAAAUCGCUUCUAGGACUGUGCUGUAAGUGGCUAUCGACUGAGUUGCCAGAACACUGCCCUACAAAGCUUUGGAGGGCCACUUCUUAAUGGAUUGCUGCAGCCUCUUAAUUUCACCAUUGAUCCUGUUCCCUGCAUCGUGAGAACAUUUUAGCCAGCACAGAACCUAGAAAAGUUACAUG